Molecule: long non-coding RNA, 179 nt
Organism: Pantherophis guttatus
Lineage: Eukaryota; Metazoa; Chordata; Lepidosauria; Squamata; Colubridae
Source: RefSeq, a predicted model, not a curated record
UUUCAGAAGAAGGUAUGCAACAUCCUUCCAGUGGCUGCACAGGUCUAAAUUAGCAUCAAGGAAAAAGAAAACUGCCCAGGAAGGAUAUGGAACCCAACGAAAUAAGAUACUGUACUAAAGAAGCAACCACAAUUCCCACAAGAAGGCAAAAUUGAAAAUUGAAAACAUAAUUGACUGUA